CUCAAUAGAGACUCACGCAAUUUCCAACUUUGUUCACAGAUAUUCUGGCUCAGCCAAACAUCUCCUUCUCCCCCCACAUUGACGGGUUGUCUGAGAACAAGCAGCUUCAGGUGCUGCUGGGCUCCAGCUUCACCAUCAGCUGCUCCAUCCUGCCCCAGCAUCCAGGAGGCUCUUUCCAGCUUAUUUUGACCAACUCGGCAACAUCGCAGAACUACACCCUGCCAGCUGUCAAUCACUCUGCCCACUUCCUGUGCUCUGCCGCAGACCACACCCACCAAGGGGACUACAGCUGUGUUUAUCACGUCUAUGCUUUCUCCCAUGAAUUCUCCUCUGAGAGCCGCCAUCUCUAUGUUGCUGUCGCAGCCUCUUUAACAGAUCUGAUCAUCAGGCUGGCACUCGUAGUGCUGAUGGUGGCGUUCAGUGUUGCCAUGUUUUUCUACUACAAGGCCAGCAGAAAGCAGAUGCUGAGACGAGAGGACAACAUAGAGCUUGAUUACCUUGGUGGUGCUAAAGACAGGCAGGGUGGAGCAGAAGAGGCAGGAGUCGAGGGGCCAUAGUGUCACACAUCCAGGUUUUCCAGGAGAGGACUCAGUACUGGGGUCAGAAGAGGUAUAUGUGAAUUUAACAAAACAAAAGUUUGACAGACGUUUAAACAUUUGUAAAUGACAAUGUGCUUUUCCAGUUGUAUUCUUAUACUUCAAAUUCUUGCACUGACUGAUUAAAGAGAUAAUGCAGUGAGUGAAACGUAACAUCUUGUUGUGUGAUAUUGUUUCCACCAAAGUUACAUUUACAUUAUUAAAGUGUGUUAUUUGACAUAUGACGGCAAUUUAUGAGCUGACAUGCAGCUUUUUUUUCCACAUGCAGUUGUACUCCUGCAAAGAUAAAGAUAAUUGUUGUGAAUGUUUUGAAAUGAGGAUUUUACUGUCUGUGAUCUGCAUCUGGUGACAUCUGCUUAAAUAUACUCUAUACUUAAUCUGUAAACAAGUAGAAAGUGAUGAAAUUUGUUUUACAAUAAAUUAAACCUGCAUUGACUGGAAUGUGUGGAUGGUUUUGUUGUUAUUAUAAUUUGUUUUUUUAGCGAGCAGGAACUCUAGUUAGAAGUGUUUCUGGAUUGAUUCUCUUCUCUUGGACCACCUCGGUGUUAACGGGAAGAAGUCAGCACUUUUUUGACAAGAAAAACAGACAUUGUUGACGAGACGUUACCGACUGGAAGAGCAGCAAACAAGAAUAAAAGCAAACUGUCUACGUGACAAUCAAACAAGCAGACGGAGGUGAAAUCGUGCUGUGUGUUUUUAUAAAAGCUGCCGUAACUGAUUUCUUUGCCACUUUGAGAAAACCUGACAUAUUAUCAACGUUGAAACUUUUUAUGGUGAAUGUGUUUUGCAAACAACUGCCUAUUUACACAUCCAGCAGAAAUAAAAACAACAUUAUCUUUCAUUUUGAGUCUUGUUUUCGGAAUUUAGAGUGCAGGGUUGAUGCCUUAAACCAGACCUAGGUCCAGGGGCCGAUUGUGGCCCUUUAACAACCUGAUUCUGGCCCUUUAAUAAUUUUGUUAGCAGACUCAUUAGUCCAUCCAUUAGUUAUAUCUGUUGCUACACAAAAAAUCCCUCUUAC
Molecule: long non-coding RNA, 1614 nt
Filed under: Sparus aurata (gilthead seabream)
Lineage: Eukaryota; Metazoa; Chordata; Actinopteri; Spariformes; Sparidae
Description: lncRNA (ENSSAUG00010002397.1)
Source: RNAcentral